Homo sapiens (human) is the source of this 1550-nucleotide long non-coding RNA. Lineage: Eukaryota; Metazoa; Chordata; Mammalia; Primates; Hominidae. The record is from Ensembl.
GGGGAGCUUGGUUCUUGAGAUGCAAGUCUGUCGACGCUCCCAGCAGAAUAAAGCCUCUUCCUUCUUUAACCUGGUGUCUGAAGGGUUUUGUCUGUGGCUUGUCCUGCUACAUUUCUUGGUUUCCUGACCGGGAAGUGAGGUGAUUAAGGGACAGUGGAGGCAGCCCCUUAGGCGGCUUAGCCUUGCCCUGCGGAGCAUCCCUGUGGGGUACUCCGGCCAGCUUGAGCAAUGUGGAUCCUGAGAGUGCUCCUGGGUAGGCAUUUGCCCCAGUGGAAUGCCUCAUCAGAGUGGUGCAUGGCAGGCCCCCACGGAGGAUCAACACAGGGGCUGAACACUGGGAAGGAACUGGCACGUGGAGUCCGGACAUCUGGAAUAUGGGAGAGCGCAGCCUGGGAUCACAAAGAAAGCAAGUCAUCUGCAACCUGCUGGAGCCUAAGACCAGAAGGCAGGCCCGACUUCCGAGACCAUCCUUGGAUGUCACUAGACUGGGAGCUGUACGUGGACGGGAGCAACUUUGUCAACUCACAAGGAGAGAGGUGUGUGGGAUAUGCAGUGGUAACCCUGGAUGCUGUCAUUGAAGCCAAAUCGUUGCCCCAGGGCACUUCAGCCCAGAAGGCCGAACUCAUUGCUUUAAUUCGGGCCUCAGAGCUAAGUGAAGGUGGAGGCCUAUCCAACAUGGACCAAGAAAGCUCGUGAAGUAACCCGUGUGCUUCUCCGAGAUCUCAUCCCUAGGUUUGGACUGCCCUUACAAAUCGGCUCAGACAACCGGCUGGCGUUUGUGGCUGACUUGGUACAGAAGAGAGCAAAGGUAUUGGGAUCACAUGGAAACUACAUACUACCUACUGACCACAAAGUUCUGGAAACGUGGAGUGGAUGAAUCAGACUAUCAAAAAUAGUUUAGGUGAUCGGGUGUGGAUCAAGGAUUGGAACGUAGCCCCCUUGCGGCCAUGGUGGAAAAGACCCCAGACCAUCAUCUUGACCACUCCUACAGUUGUAAAGGUAGAGGGAAUCCCAGCCUGGAUCCACCACAGCCAUGUAAAACCUGCAGCACCUGAGACCUGGGAAGCAAGACCAAGCCCAGACAACCCUUGCAAAGUGACUCUGAAGAAGACGACAAACCCUUCUCCAGUCACACCCGGAAGCUGACUGGUCCACGCAUGGCCAAAGCAUAAGGAAACUCACCAUGAGACUCAUUUUCCUUAAAUUUUGAACUUGUACAGUAAGGACUUCAACUGACCUUCCUCAGACUGAGGACUGUACCCAGUGUAUACAUCAAGUCACUGAGGUAGGACAAAAGGUUGUUGCAGUCCUAUUAUUUUAUAGUUGUUAUGAGUGUACCGGGACUCUAAAAGGAACUUGUUUGUAUAAUGCUACUCUAUACAAGGUAUGUAGCCCAGGAAGUUACCAGCCUGAUGUGUGUUAUAACCCAUCUGAGCCCCCUAUGACUACCGUUUUUGAAAUAAGAUUGAGGACUGGCAGCUGGGGAAAAGCUGAUAUGAGUAAAUAACUGGAACAGAAGAGAAAGGAGCCCCAAAAAAAUUAUCUUAAAA